Molecule: ribosomal RNA, 1465 nt
Filed under: Salmonella enterica subsp. enterica serovar Enteritidis
Lineage: Bacteria; Pseudomonadati; Pseudomonadota; Gammaproteobacteria; Enterobacterales; Enterobacteriaceae
Description: partial 23S ribosomal RNA
Rfam family: Bacterial large subunit ribosomal RNA
Source: RNAcentral
GGGUUGUGAGGUUAAGCGACUAAGCGUACACGGUGGAUGCCCUGGCAGUCAGAGGCGAUGAAGGGCGUACUAAUCUGCGAUAAGCGCCGGUAAGGUGAUAUGAACCGUUAUAACCGGCGAUACCCGAAUGGGGAAACCCAGUGUGAUUCGUCACACUAUCAUUAACUGAAUCCAUAGGUUAAUGAGGCGAACCGGGGGAACUGAAACAUCUAAGUACCCCGAGGAAAAGAAAUCAACCGAGAUUCCCCCAGUAGCGGCGAGCGAACGGGGAGGAGCCCAGAGCCUGAAUCAGCAUGUGUGUUAGUGGAAGCGUCUGGAAAGGCGCGCGAUACAGGGUGACAGCCCCGUACACAAAAGCGCAUGUGCUGUGAGCUCGAUGAGUAGGGCGGGACACGUGGUAUCCUGUCUGAAUAUGGGGGGACCAUCCUCCAAGGCUAAAUACUCCUGACUGACCGAUAGUGAACCAGUACCGUGAGGGAAAGGCGAAAAGAACCCCGGCGAGGGGAGUGAAAAAGAACCUGAAACCGUGUACGUACAAGCAGUGGGAGCACCCUUUGGGUGUGACUGCGUACCUUUUGUAUAAUGGGUCAGCGACUUAUAUUCUGUAGCAAGGUUAACCGAAUAGGGGAGCCGGAGGGAAACCGAGUCUUAACCGGGCGUUAAGUUGCAGGGUAUAGACCCGAAACCCGGUGAUCUAGCCAUGGGCAGGUUGAAGGUUGGGUAACACUAACUGGAGGACCGAACCGACUAAUGUUGAAAAAUUAGCGGAUGACCUGUGGCUGGGGGUGAAAGGCCAAUCAAACCGGGAGAUAGCUGGUUCUCCCCGAAAGCUAUUUAGGUAGCGCCUCGUGAAUUCAUCUCCGGGGGUAGAGCACUGUUUCGGCUAGGGGGCCAUCCCGGCUUACCAACCCGAUGCAAACUGCGAAUACCGGAGAAUGUUAUCACGGGAGACACACGGCGGGUGCUAACGUCCGUCGUGAAGAGGGAAACAACCCAGACCGCCAGCUAAGGUCCCAAAGUCAUGGUUAAGUGGGAAACGAUGUGGGAAGGCCCAGACAGCCAGGAUGUUGGCUUAGAAGCAGCCAUCAUUUAAAGAAAGCGUAAUAGCUCACUGGUCGAGUCGGCCUGCGCGGAAGAUGUAACGGGGCUAAACCAUGCACCGAAGCUGCGGCAGCGACACUGUGUGUUGUUGGGUAGGGGAGCGUUCUGUAAGCCUGUGAAGGUGUGUCGUGAGGCAUGCUGGAGGUAUCAGAAGUGCGAAUGCUGACAUAAGUAACGAUAAAGCGGGUGAAAAGCCCGCUCGCCGGAAGACCAAGGGUUCCUGUCCAACGUUAAUCGGGGCAGGGUGAGUCGACCCCUAAGGCGAGGCCGAAAGGCGUAGUCGAUGGGAAACGGGUUAAUAUUCCCGUACUUGGUGUUACUGCGAAGGGGGGACGGAGAAGGCUAUGUUGGCCGGGCGACGGUU